AGUGAACGCUGGCGGUAGGCCUAACACAUGCAAGUCGAACGGCAGCACAGUAAGAGCUUGCUCUUACGGGUGGCGAGUGGCGGACGGGUGAGGAAUACAUCGGAAUCUACUUUUUCGUGGGGGAUAACGUAGGGAAACUUACGCUAAUACCGCAUACGACCUACGGGUGAAAGCAGGGGAUCUUCGGACCUUGCGCGAUUGCAUGAGCCGAUGUCGGAUUAGCUAGUUGGCGGGGUAAAGGCCCACCAAGGCGACGAUCCGUAGCUGGUCUGAGAGGAUGAUCAGCCACACUGGAACUGAGACACGGUCCAGACUCCUACGGGAGGCAGCAGUGGGGAAUAUUGGACAAUGGGCGCAAGCCUGAUCCAGCCAUGCCGCGUGGGUGAAGAAGGCCUUCGGGUUGUAAAGCCCUUUUGUUGGGAAAGAAAAGCAGCAGGUUAAUACCCCGCUGUUCUGACGGUACCCAAAGAAUAAGCACCGGCUAACUUCGUG
This 492-nucleotide ribosomal RNA is filed under the name uncultured bacterium. RNAcentral's name for it is "partial 16S ribosomal RNA". It matches the Rfam family "Bacterial small subunit ribosomal RNA", at positions 29 to 507 of the family's 1533-position model. The record is from RNAcentral.